Molecule: ribosomal RNA, 468 nt
Filed under: uncultured bacterium
Lineage: Bacteria
Description: partial 16S ribosomal RNA
Rfam family: Bacterial small subunit ribosomal RNA
Source: RNAcentral
GAUGAACGCUGGCGGCGUGCCUAACACAUGCAAGUCGAGCGAUCUUCUUCGGAAGAGAGCGGCGGACGGGUGAGUAACGCGUGGGUAACCUGCCCUGUACACACGGAUAACAUACCGAAAGGUAUGCUAAUACGAGAUGAUAUGCUUUUAUCGCAUGGUAGAAGUAUCAAAGCUCCGGCGGUACAGGAUGGACCCGCGUCUGAUUAGCUAGUUGGUAAGGUAACGGCUUACCAAGGCGACGAUCAGUAGCCGACCUGAGAGGGUGAUCGGUCACAUUGGAACUGAGACACGGUCCAAACUCCUACGGGAGGCAGCAGUGGGGAAUAUUGCACAAUGGGCGAAAGCCUGAUGCAGCAACGCCGCGUGAGCGAUGAAGGCCUUCGGGUCGUAAAGCUCUGUCCUCAAGGAAGAUAAUGACGGUACUUGAGGAGGAAGCCCCGGCUAACUACGUGCCAGCCGCCGCGGUAA